CAUGCAAGAGUCGAUCGAAGAACAAUCAACAAAUCAGUAGCUUUCUGAUGCUGCAAGGAAGAGAAGUCCAAUCUUGAAAUCAAUCACUUCGAUCCUUUAGUCGGGCCUUGUAGACGUCUCCGGAUCCACCAGUACCGAUUAAUCUGUCAGCACCGAAGCCAUUGGUGGCCUCGAGUCGGUGGGCAAAAGUGGCAACAUCGAUGCUGAGAGGCUCGAGAACACCAGACGGGUUCCAACUAGUCAACGUAACUAGGUCUCGACUCCUCGGUCUUGUACGGGGCAAGCAACAGUAAGAAUACACUGAACACAGGCAACACAAUGCCGAUAAGAACGCUCCCACCUCGUUCCCCGAUUAAAACACACAUGUUAUCCAAUUGCUGGAGCUUCACAUCAUAUCACAUAUGAUUUACAUAAUUGAAAACAUUGUUGACGAUGAUGGUGAUAGAAUCCCUAUCACUCAUAUUCAUUCUAUGAUAAUUAAUUUAUAUGGGAAUAUUUUUAGACUGUAUGAUAUUUUGUGUGUAUCUUAUAUCAAAAUGAAUCUUAUUUUUAUCUCUUAAUUUUAUAAAUAAAAUAAUAUAUCUAUUGAGUUCUUUCUUGUCUCGUUUCUUAUAGAAGACAUGAGCACAAGACAUCUUUGGUCCGAGAUCAAAAUAAAAACAAUAUCUAUGAGUGACGGUGAACCUCACAAAUCACUCGGUCAAUCACUAUUUCUUCUAUUACUGCUCUAAUAGAUGUGUGAUAUUGUCGCUUUUGUUAUUCAUCAUUCUCUAUUCAACAAAAACUAAUUUCUUAUUACUUCUUUUCGACUUCUAAACCAAAUAAAACUGUUACUCAUUGUGAUUCUUAUGUUAGUAAUAAAAGUCACAAACUUACUGUUGAAACGUCUUCUAUAUACUGUUCCAAACCACUUGAAAUUAUUUAUACUAUUGUUUGGAGCCUUGCUCCAACUACUUCCUUUGAUGAUGAAUACCAAGCUUUAACAAUUUACCUCUGAUAGUGAGGUAUACAAUAUCUAAGUCACCACCGCACAUACCUCAACUAUUUGACUUUGCUGAACGAAAACAUCGACACAUAGUUGAAACUAAUCUCACCCUCCUAUACCAAGCCUCUAUAUCACUAAUCUUUUGGUCAAUAGCUUUUCAAACUAUCGUCUAUCUCAUUAAACCAUAUGUUCACCCAAAUCCUACAACACUGGUCACCAUUUGAAAGACUACUUCACAAAAUCUUCCCUAACUAUGUCUCUAUGUUUCACAUAAGUCAACAUCAAGAUCUAAGUCAUGCAUCUUUAUCAUCAGAUACUCUCUUGAAUAUAAUGUUUUUUGAUGAUUUGAUUCUUAAACUCAUAAGGUAUUCGUAUUACAUCAUGUUAUGAGUCAACAUUUCCCUUUUAAAAUCUUAAUCCUUUAGCAAUUCAAGCCAUUACAACAAUAAUCAAUCACUGAGUUCAUAUGAGUGCACCUCAAACCCUUCUCAAGUGCAUCUCUUACCAUAUCAACAAAUAGUUCUUCUAUAAACUUGUACUAUUUUAUUAUUCUAGUUCAGCAAUACUUUACCUCUUUUAUAACUUCUCAAUCAACCUCUCUAUCAAAGAAGCAACGCUCUUGGUACCACAAAUGAUAUCUUUGUUCUUUCAUAGACCAAGUGAUAUCGAAGUGCAUCAGUGUAAUUACGUAUAUGUCAUUAACUGUUCACAAAUUCUCAUAGCAUCAACAUAACCCAGUAAUACCAUCGAGCUUGAAUAUCACAUGAUAACACGUUCAAAAAAUAACAUAGUUUAACCAUGCUAAAUCAUUAAUUUUUAUGCUACCAUAAGCUCUCCAACUGACCAUACUAAACUCAUAAGUAUCACCCGAGCCCAAAAAUAUCUACACUUGCGUAAAGUUACGUGUGAAGAUUAUGAUGCUCUACUCCAUAAUAUCAUGUGGACUCUUAUAUCAUCUUAUCUCACACAAAAUAUCAUUAAAUGUAAAUGAAUCUUUUGAAUUAAGUGAAACCCAAAUAAAUCCAUUGUCAGAUAUAAAGCACCUAUAGUGGCCAAAAUGUUUCACCAACGACAAUGUGUUGAUUUUAUAGAGACCUUUAGUCUAGUUGUUAAAUCAAUAACAAUUCGACUCAUCCUUAGUUUAGCUAUCACUAAAGGCUAUCAUAUACGUCAACUAGAUAUUAAUAAUGCUUUAUUGCAAGAGACCUUAAUUGAAGAUGUUUUUAUACAUUAACCUUCUAGCUUCAUCCACCUAUAAUAUCCAAACCAUAUUUAUAAACUACAAAAAGCUAUUUUAGAUUUGGACAAGCUCAAAGAGCUUGAUAUAUAGAAUCUAGCUCGUUUUCUGUGUUAGUCAGUUUCAUCAACUCCAAAUCCCAUAGUUCUUUAUUCCUAUGACAACAAAAGAGAUGUACUAUAUAUCUAUUAGUCUGUAGAUGAUAUAAUGAUCACAGACAAUAAUUUCAUAGAGAUUAAAUAAUUCCUUAUGUAAUCGACAAAUUAAUUCUUCAUCAAAAUCUAAGAAUCUUAAACUAUUUUCUAAGAGUAAAAUAAAAUUUAUAUAUUUUAAAUUUUUCUAUCUAUAUUCGAGAUCUAUUAUCAAAAUACAAGUAUAUUGAAUGCAAAAUAAGUUGCAGUGAUCUGGGUCAAAGCACCCAUUCUGCAGUGAUCGGUAUGAGGUUUUGGGUGUCUAACAUCCUCAAUGGGUCUAAUGGGAAUGUGUGUGGCAGUAAUCGAGGUGUUUAUGGGCGAAAUAACCUCUUGGGUUCAGUGAAUAAUUGAUAGGACUUUUGUGUGUGUGUGUGUUGAAACUGGAGAUUUCUGUCAUCAAUCAUCAGCCCACCUGUGCUAGGUUUGAAGAAAGGAUCCCGUACGCACAUUUCAGAUGUAUCGUGAGUCAAACCGGUUGAAGAAGGUGAGGAAAGCUUGCACGAACACAUUGACGACUAAGGAGUCGAUAAGCCACCAUGAAUCUUACAAGGAGAAGUUGGACAUCAUGAGUCCCUCUCAGGGACAGAUGUGAUUUGAAUUAGGUGGGCUCAUGGUUGCAAGCAAGGAAGCGGAAAGCAACUGCUACACCAACACUCGCAGUUGAUUGGAGAUAAACCCCUCAUGAGUUGGAUGGAAUCAUGGACUCAAGAAAUUGGAUCAGAUUAAAGAAGUAAUUUGAUGCACUUUAUCGAUCGAUGGGAAAAUUCUUUCUGGAUCAGAAAAAUCCAGGAAGUUCUUAGUAGUUUUAUGAUCAUCAGAGGGAUUGAUUCAAAUGCUACUGUUCCUUUCCAUUAAUUUGGCUCACUUGUAGAGGGAUUUCUUCUACCAUCCAUGGCAGACUUUGACAUGUACAUGGAUUUAUGAACUGUCACAGAAGAAUCGAUUGAAGAACAAUCAACAAAUUAAUAGUUCUUGAUAGCAGAUAAGAUUUUCUAAAAAAAUUUUAUAUUCUGUUGAAAGAAAUCCUCUAUUCUGUUGAGUGAAAUCGAUUUAUGGACUUAUGAAUGAUCACAGAAGAAUCGAUUGAAGAACAAUCAACAAAUUAAUAGUUCUCGAUAGCAAAUAAGAUUUUUCCAAAAAAAAUUUUUAUUAUGUUAAUGCAUUCAAACUUCUUCAAUAAAACUUCUUCAAUAAUUCUUCUUAUCUUGUAUUCUUUCUAACAGUUCUCUAUGACUCUUUGCUUUCCUCCUAAUAAAUAUAUGUACAUACAUAUUAACUAAGCAUUAACAGUUCUCUUAUGCCUCUUUGUUUUCCUCCUAAUAAAUAUAUGCAUAUACAUAUUAACCAAGCAAAGAAGAUAAUGAAAUGAAGCAGAUCCAUCUCAUAUUUUCCACAAUGUAGUAGCAAUUUUAAGCUAUGACUAAUACAGAAACAACUUUUGAGUAAGAAAAAUAUGCACAUAUUUGAAUGACAAAUGAGCUGAAUGAACAGAAGUAGGUGCUCACAGAAAAAGUAACAGGUCCAUGGCAUUUGAUUGGAACAAAUUAAUCUGCUGCUAUGGAAAGACCUUUCCAUUGGGCAGUAGUAUGGAGGUAAUCAUAAUGCCACCUGCAGAUUUAAAUUCUUGUUUGACUAUCGGCACCAAUGUAAAGUCCAGAAAAAAAAUUGAGGUAUGAACAAAUAUUCAUUAAGAAUAAGAGCAGCUAAAUAGCAAUGGCAUCGGAUUGCACCCUUACAGACCGAAAAUGAGACAAGCCAUGAAGAAAUUAGUGUUCUGGCUUUUGAUCUGCAAAGUAUAUAAUUAUAAACUGACUGGAAAUCUAAAAAUGCCCAACUCAACUUCGACAAACCCAUGCUCCUUCAGCAUGCAUCAUCAGCGAGCAGACGUCUGCAGUUUGCUACGAUGGUGCAUGUAACAUCCUGAUGAUCAGAGGUCUUUCUGGAUCAACAAAAUCAUUUCAGGAGCUAAUGUGAGCUCGAGCCAUGACAAUUUUCUCAAUUAUAUGUCUUCGCAUGAAGCACUAAAACCAAGUGCAAUUGUUCAACCAUUCGGUGGAAGAGGCCUUGGAUUUAAUGCUGGAUAGUGUGACCUCUCCUGAGCAUCCGGAUCUUGGAAAAGAGAAUUCCAUCGGUCAAAUAUGAUGCGCCCUCCUCGACCAAUCCGACCACAGAAUCGGUAUGGUGAUACAACUGACUCAUUCUCUGCAGAUAAAACAGGUGGCACAAUGCCUGCAGCGGCAAGCUUGUCUGGAUCCAGAGAUUUUGUAAAUAACAUGACAGGUUCAUCUGGAUCCUGCAUUGAAAUGAAAUUCAAAACCAACAAACGUUGAACAUUUUGUUCCACAACUGUUCCGCAUAUCUUCUUCACAACAGAUAGUUUAUCAUCCAGACCAAAAAUUUGGAGCAAAUCAAUGGAGAUUGAAAUCUAACCCGUCCUUAAUGAAUGAGCAAAAAGACAAAAAAAAGGGGGCAAAAGCAAAUAUACCCUCUUUUGCGUCCACCCAUUUGACAAAGGUCUCCGUUUCAAUUCUCGUUUCAUUCGUACUGUUGGGACUGCAAUUAGCUUGAAAUCUGCAUACCUUGGAUGGAGAGUGGCAGGGACAGCAAUUGGAUCACCAUUAAUCGUGUCAUCUGAAUCAACAUAAUCCUCCUCACUUGAUGUAAAUUUGCAUGUAACAUGUCGGAAACUUGGGAUUGCAAUUCCAUCUUCAACGAGAUGAGCCUCAUGCUAUGAGUAUUACCAAGUCAACAAGGAUCCAAUCAAAUGCUAGAAUCAAAACAAAUCAUACAGAGCAGUGAAUGAACCGUAAUAUCCUGCAUGCCUUGGGAAGCCUAUCCCUUAUCAAAAGUUUCUACCAUCACAAAACUAAUAGCCUCUUUAAUUUAUCAGAGAAGGAUGUUACUUUUACAUUCAGAAAGACUACAGGAGAAAAUAAAAUUUAUCAAUACUGGUGCAAGACAGAGAAUAUGGAUAAGAGCCAAAGAACCCUCUCUAGCAACAUAAAAAGACCUAGUAUCAUAGGCAUCACCAAUAAUAUAUUUGUCAAUAUAACUUCUCUCCUUAACAAUCACUGGAUCCUUCACUAGGCCUUGAUCAGAAAAUAGUUAUUUAGAAAUCAAAUGUGUAGAAAUAAACCAUGUAUAAGAAAGAUUCAACCUUGACCUCUUAUUUAUUUCAAGACAUUUUUAUUUCUCCUUAUAAAAAACCCAGUCUCUCAAAUAAAAUGUGGUCAUAUCACCAUAAAUAUUGCAAUAUCAAAUCAAAACUUUAAAUCAGAACAUACUUUUGCAUCGUAAGUAGAUAGAUCUAUAUGGAAAUUCAUGAAUAAAAUACAAAUAACAAAUAGAAUAACACUGAGAACAAUGUCUGCAAAUCAGAAACAACUAUUUACAUUGUUCUCCUAUGAGUCAAUCUUGCCAUUUAUCAUGAUUCAAAGCCUUUCUAGGUUCAGGGCAAAAAAAAUGUUAGCAGUAAAAAUUGCAAAAUUUACAACGAUAACAGAAAUUGAUAAUCGAUUAUAACCUUGUGUGCCUAUAUAAUACAGAAAGAAGAAUACAAUAUUUGGAAUUACCUUAUACUUCAUCUGAAUUCUCUGGAUUUUGACCUCGCACUCAACAAUAUCCCGCUUCUUCUCUUCCCUCUGCGAUACAUGUAAUUAAUAUGGACUUUUCUGAUUAUGUAACAGACCUUGUAAGAAGAUCUAAUUUCCAUUUAGGAUAGAGCUUUGUAAAAGAAACCUGAAUCAAAGAAUCAAGCAUUCUCUUUGCCUGGUCCAAGUUACGCCUGACCUGAAGUACAGUAAGUAAAGGAUGACAAGAAAUCCUGAUGCCAUAGUAAACAUAUAUAAUAAACACAACCAAUUUCUACAAUAUUGUUAAAAGAAUGAAUAGAAGAGGCAUAAUAGGCCAUAUCAUUCACUGGUUUAUAUGAGUUUUUACACCUCAAUCAUCCAUUUUUCUACUCAGAUGUAUUGAGAGUCCAGUUUUUUCAUCAUAAUCUACAUAUAUACAUGUUGACAAUUGACAUAUAUCACCACUACUAAGUAACAACUUUUAAAAUACUAGAUAUAAUCUAUAACCAAUUAAAAACAGUAUUAAUAAAAGUAAACAACAUCCCACUCUUAAAUAUGACAAGAAAUCCACGAUCUCUUCCACAUAAUUAUCAAAAUAUCAAUACUGAUAUGUGAGAUUAUAGAAAAAAAAUAUCCUCCUUCACAGCAUAUAUAUUAUGUUUUUUAAAUUAGAGGCUAAUGGCAUCAACAGUAGUGUGAGUUCAACAAGUUUCAUUUUUUUGAAAAGUUUAUCUCUUUAGGUCCCUCCAAAGUCGAUUCCUUGGAACAUCUUUUCUGGUACAACCUUUUCUCGACAGAAUUUCAAUCUAAAAAUUACUUGUUAUGAUUAACUGUAGCUUUAGUACUAAUUAUGAGAUUUGCAUAAUACGAAGAGCAGAGUUAUGCUCUUCGGAAAAGGAUAAAGAGGCCAACAGAUACAUAAAUUUUUCCUUUAGAAAGGAAAAGAGAUCAGACAAUUGGAUUUUAACUCCUUGUUCAAUAAUUCUCCAUCCUUCAUUUCUAUUCCUCUCCCAGCUAUCUUCCCUCCUCAUGUUCUUUACAGAUAUUUCGUUAUUCAUUUUAAAAUCAGCACUGCUGUCCACUCAAGCAAAUUAAUAAAAAAUGAUUAACAAUUGUUUCAGUAUUAGUGAAUGGAGUUCAUAUCAAUUGCAGAUUUGCUUCAUCUUAGUUGUUCUAUAAAAAUUUUCACGUUAAGUGCCCCUUAAAUCACUAUACUGUGCCCCUUGCCUUGCACCUUGUACCAUGGCUGCAAGCAACCUUGGUGCUUCAGUGAACCUCAGCCUUCAACAAUUCUGACCAGUUGAUACAUACCAUUUUAAACAGUGCCUUAUACCAUAUACUAUGUUACAAGCGAUAAAGCAAUGAAAUUUACCUGUCGAAGUUUUUCAAAUGACUGAACACUGUUUUCCCUCCUUUGCAUCUGGAAAAAGAAAAUAGUCAUCAAAUAUCCAGCAUAUAGACCAAGAAGCACUACAUUUCUUUCAGCAAAUCUUUCUAUUUAAUUAUACAAAGCUUUUUCCUUUGUGUCAACAACUAAUUUAUAUAUACAAUUGACUCCACGGCACCUACCCUUCUUGUGUGAAGACGGUGUGCCUUUUCUCUCGGUCUGAAUACAUUAUAGGGAUUUGUAUCAUUAACUGGUGGAGGCGGCUGCAUAAGCACAAAAUAUAUUAGAUAUGAUCAAAUCAUCUACUGCUUUUAUGAAAAUAUACAACUUUAUGGAGUACGAUGCUAGAAGAACAGAUUAGCCAGUCAAACAUAUAAUUGCAGGCCAUAGCCUAGGACAGCUCAAACUAAGAUCAUUGCCACUUUUAGGCAAUUGUUUUUUUACUUUUUAUAUGCACCACCAAACCCAAGAGAUAAUGUUCCAUCCAGUGACCAAAUUAAUAGCAAAAGAAAUUUUCAUUAUAAUAACUAACAGAAGUUCAUAGAUAGGUGAGAGUUCUAUGAUGGAGCUGAUAAGAAUCAUUAAAGAAGCCAUUCAAGCACAACAUUCUCCAUUUUUUUGUGCUGGUUAGAACAAAUUGCAAGAAAGUCUGUUUCACCACAACUUGAACCUAAUCUAUGGACCGUUACCUCUCUAAGAAGUCAUGCCACCACAAAACAACUACCUAGAAAAAGAUAUCUAAAUAGAACAAAUCUUCACAAUAAAAUCAAUUGGUGCCAUAAAACUAAAUGCCCAGUGAAGGAACACAGACACCCCCGAAACAAACAUGAAACAAUAUAAGGUCACACACCACUCUAAUAAAAGAAUGGCACUGUAAACCCAAAUUAUAAAGUGGGAUGAGUAUCACAAGUUUCUUUACCUCUCCCGGCCUCUCCUCCCUUCACUUUGCACGGUAUCCCAAAUUCCUAAUGCCACUCGCAGCUAAGGUAACUCAUGAUAAUAAUGUGACCAAUGACGUUUACGAAAAAAGCAGCGAAGACUGUUGCAUCCGACAAGGCAGACAUAGCAAGUGCAUCUUUUGACAUCAAUCCAGCAACUUGGUUUUUAUUUUGUUGUCCCCUUAUCGCAAAUGGGUUGAAUCUAGUUAAAGUAUAUUUCAUUCGUUUACUUUUCUCCCAAAUGGUUUUUAUUUUUCAUUCUUUUUCUCUAUCAUUUAGUAUCAGCAGGGCUCCACACAUGGCACAUACCAUUCUGUUGAAAAAUAUUGUUACUCAAAAUAAUUAGUCAAGUUUCCUUUACUCUGAGCAUAUAUGUAUCUCAACAAGCAUAGGAUAACAUUCUCUACUUUAUUUUAUCUUUUUAUGACAAUCUUAUUUGGUAGCAUUUUUUUUUUUCACAAACUUUUGAUUUGUAAUCCUUUUCUUCUUCUUUUUUUGCAAAGGAUAGGUAGCGAAGGCAAGAUUCAAGCCCAGGAUCUUGUGAUAUCCAUUCUUAAUUUUUCGAUUAUAGAACUAGAUUAUCUACAUGAACUUCAAUUCUUCAUUAAACUAUAACUUCAAACAUUCCCCAUUGGGAAAAUCUAAAAUUUGCAAAAAUAUUGUGGACAUAUUGUUCAUGAGGUAUGGGGUACCUUGAUUUACUUGCACAGGUCAGCCACUUUUUAGAACAUUGACCGUAAUGAAUAAACACAAAAGCAGAAUGGUAGGUUCAAUUCUCCACCAUAUACUGGCUCAGCAAAAUGAGAAGAAAAUGAUAAAUUUAAGUUUUUCAUCAUCAAAAGAGUAAUACUCAAAGGUAAGUAUCCCCAUGUAUCUGAAAAAUCCAAUUUCUACAAUUGCUAUAAAUUUGGAUAUUUAUAUAAAGCAUCAAAACUUAUCAAGGAAUCAUCCAUUAUCCCCUAGAAAGCAGUUUAACGAAUGAAAGUUCUAUAUACUACUUUAAGAUUCGGUUAUCUUGAUACAUCUUUCAAUAAUUUUUUGAUUUUAAUUAUCUUUGAGCGACUUCUUACUGGGACUGAACCAACAUAAUUUAUUUCAACAAUCAUGUUUAAAAUGUUUGUUAAUAUUAUAAAUGAAUAAACUUUGUAAAGGUUCCUUUCAACCAAAAGAGACUUGUUCUAAUUGUCACCAAUGGAUUAAAAUACCAUAGAUGGAAGAUCUAGUGCACAAGGCUCCUGCCAAUAAUGUACACAACCUUUAACCCUAUAGAUAGAUGGGCUGUAAUAGUAAGGACUGGGAUACUGUAUGGAGUCACAGUGGCAAGUUAUAUAAAACUAAUACAAGCAAAAUCACAUAUAGUAUAACAGAACAUCAGACAGAAUUACAGAUUUGGCAGAAAAAAUGUCAUUAUUCUUCAUCUAAGACUACUGCUACCAGUGCUAUCUUCAUCUUGGACUCUUUCACCAAUCUUAAAGGAGUUAUUAUCAUAUGGCUUGCUUUAGUUAAUUUAUACAAAAUCAGUGUAGCAAGCAAAGGAACGAGAUUCACCUUAGAAAACAUAACGAACACCAACAUUCUAAGAAAAAAAAGUAAAAGGGGCCAACCUGCAGGCGUCGCAAGAUAGGUUUUUGCCACUGUUCUCUCUGAUAAAUGACAAAUAAAUCAUAAGUAAGAAUCAAUGGAGUCAAAAUAUAAAUUUGAUUGAAUCUAUAAAUCAACUCCAGAGAUAAAACCUCAGAUUCAUAUAUUUUGAACAAUGAAAAAAUAAAAUGGUGGUCACUCUCUGUUUCUCUCACCACAUAAAACAUACCUUUAAUUUCCAAUAGUUAUAUACAGAUUGGAAAACUGGAUAUCGUACACAUAGGGGUUGCAAAGCCUGCAAAAAUUGAGCAAAUUGUUGGCAAUGUUAAAGAGUUUUGUUAUUAGCUACCAGGCAAAAUUCCAUUCUUGUUAAGCUCCAUUACAUCUUAAAAAAUCACAGCACAUAAGCUAGCUGCCAGUGAAAGGUUGUGCAAUCAGCAUCUUUAAAAAAAAAAUCAUGUAUGAGAAAUGUGUCACCAACAUUUCUCAUACAUAGCCCAGUUCUUAUCAACAUCAGAAAAUAUUUUUACGUGAACCAUUUGUUUAAGCACAACUACUGUAAAUCAUAUAUCUCACUUAGGAGAAUGAAUUUUUGUCCUUAACUAUCAUGCUAGAUAUAAUGCUUUGCUUAGACAGUAAACAAAUGCUAAGAAAUAAUAGAUCUGGACAUGAGAGGAACUAGACUCAAUAUGAAUAAUAAAAAACAAACUCCAGAAAUAUAGUCAUUAACCUCUUCUGCUGCAUCAAAUUGUAAAAGAACAGGAAUAGGUGAUCCAAAAGUAGGUGUUAUGACUCCUGCUCGUUCUCGAGCUUUAUGAUCCAUAACCUCCAGCUUGAACAAAAUGGUCUCAAACCUGGGUUAAAAUAAGCUUAAGUUCAUAAAAGUAAUCACCGAAAAGAAAGAACAUAUUAAACUAGAAGCAUAAUUUGCAGCAUGUUCUCUGUACAGUUCCAGAAUGAAUCUUGCGUGCCUCAAAUCAACCUGUGACAUACUGGAUGGUCCCAUGGAAAACACACUUAGUCUAUGGUUGCAACUCAUUUGGAGCAUCCUCUUUUUCCACAACCUCCUUUCAUAAUGGUACAGCUAAUGAGACACUACAUUUGUAGGAACCUCAUGCACUAGAGCUCCCAUUUAAUACCUACAUGUGGCUCUGGCUACAGGGUCAUAAACAUGAGGAAGGACUUCUCUAUUGAAUCUCUGCCGCAUUGCAGGCAGGCUACUGGCUUAGGUUAUUUUUCUUGCUAAACAUGGUGGUUGAACUUGAACCUUCCCCGAUCUCCAUAGCCUCAGUCAGAAGAAUCAGAGGACUCAUUACUGCUGUGAUGAAAUAGCAUUACCAUGAAAUGAUAGCAUUAUUUUCUGAAAACUGAUUUAGCAAAGGCUAACUGUAUUAAGAUGAGAUUCGAAGAGCCCAUGCAGAUUCCUCUGAUAGGCAUACAAAACUUGAAGAUUCUGUGCAUUGAAAAAACUUCAGUAAAAGAAAACGGCUUUUCUCUUUGAUUGAAUGUUUUUUGACAUAGAGGAGGAGAAUAAAUGAAUCAUCAAGAUAACGAAUAACAGUAACAGGUGAAUCUUGUUAGUACCAAAGUGUUAAAUUAUAUUCUUCAUUUUUCUUCUAAGUCUUCCAGUGCAGGGCAAUCAACUUAUAGAAGAGGUCAGAAAGCAUCUGCUUUACUGAUUCUCUCCAUGCAGCAGCUUGUUUGUCCAAAAGAAAAACGGGCAGCUCUCCUGGUCUUUUCCAAUGUAAACUUACAUUAAAGCAUUGAUAAUAUUACAAAAACCAAAAAAUAAUUGAAUCAUCACGACUGUAAUCAUUUGUUCAUUAAAUCACAACUGUAAUCAUUAGUUCAUUACCAUUACAGCUAUGGAAUAAUUCAUCCUCUUCUUUAUGUGGGUAAAAUAUUUUUUUUUAUUUGAUCAAUCUACUACCAAGAACGACUAUCAUUCUUAUCAUCUUUAAUCCUCCCAACCCACCCUGUUUUUUCAUUAAGAAAGUCUUAAGAGUAAAUAAUGCAUAAUAACAAUUCACUGUUUCAAUAAUGUAUUUCUAGCAUUCCAGGGGGACAAUGAAGGUCCAAAUUUUACAGAUCAUGAAGCAAAAUAGCAUUGAAGAAUACAAUAAGCAUAGUGGUCACCAAGUCUAUACUAUGACUAUUACUUUUCAGGUGUAAGAGUCUUCCCUUCAUAGUUGAACUCUUCAAGCCAACCAUCAUCCUCAUUAUCCAGGUCAUAUUCAACAAAUUCACCAAUCUCAGCCCGAGCUACAAGAUGUUAACAAUGAAAAAGAUAUCAAAACAUGCAAUGUAAAUAGGAAUUCUUUCUUCGUAGUAAUAUCUUGCAAAAUUCAAUAAAAACCUCCUCUUCCACGUAUAUAUGAUGCAGUUGGUGUGAAGGUAGGGGUAUAAUCUCUUUCAUAUGUGUCCACAACACUGAACUGCGGAGUAGGAAUUUCUUGAGAACUUGCCUUGCUUGGAGUUUGAUGCACCUAAAAAGAAUAACAUAAUUCUGUCAGUCACUUUGUCAUAUUAGUUGAUCUAACUUCAUAAGAUGGUUCACAGUUCAAAAUAAGUACUACCAACUAGACUGCUGCCUGAUGGUAAAAAGAGCAAGCACUGGACAUUUAGCACUUCUGCAAACAUUUUGCAUUUUAGGCAUUACAAGGUGGUCAAGGGUGACAUCCACCUGAAGGUCCAAAAGAUUGGCUAAAAGAACAUACGUAGGCACAGAAAUACAAAGACAGAACAUCCUCCUUCGGCACCUCCUAUGGAAUACCGAAAGACACUGAAUAAGGUGAAAAAUCUGAAGCUACGAGAAUGACAAAAAGUGAUAACAAAUGAAUAACUAAGUUUGUCAUAUUAGCAAACAAAUAACUAAAGAAAAUUAGUGGUCGAGAGCAUGAAGCUUCAGCUAAUACGGGAUUUGGAAAGGGUCAAAUAUACAUAGUCCUCAUGCAACACUCAGAAUACUUGAGUGUGAGAUUCUAACUGCACAACCUGUUCAGAGUACCAUAGGAGAAGAAAAAUCCAUGCACCAUAAAUAAUUGCGAUAAAUUCAAGUUCAACCUGCUAUAACGAUAUUGGUGUUACCUCAUUCUCAGUUGCAAUUCGGAGCAGGUGUGAGUUGCGGGUUGAAGCGGCUGUGGCAGGCGCCUCGUCAUCAUCAAAUUCUUUAACGGAUUUGACAAUGGGGAGCUUCUUGUGAAUGUCAAGGGGCCGAGGCCUGAAUGAAAGCCUACUCAUGUCCACUUCAUCUCUCUUUCACUUCCAACUUUGUUUCCCAGCUCAAACUGCCGCUGCUGCUACCCCGACCUCGCGCACAGCAGCACCAACGACCGGUGUUCCCGUUACGUUCUCAAAACCAGCCACAAAGAUUCUGUUAAAAUCAUCAAGAAGUUCACGAAUUGUCUUUGCGAGCACUAGAACUCGCCAUUCACAACACAGUCGCAGCAGAGCAGAGUCCAGCAGCUCAGAGAGGUGUUCAAAACGAACAAACCCUAGAAUUCCUCACGUCGGAAACUUCAUGCACAGCACCAGAGGAUCUAUGAAGCGGGCGUUUAAGUUGCGAGCUUACUCCUACUUGCAGAUACCCCAGUUCCGACCAAAGAUUGGGGACACGCCUCCAAAGCGCCUCCUUGUCGAGAAACCUCAACUCCUGGCGUCGGAACAGGGCCUCCAGAGCCGGAGGAGCCGAUUGGGAGGAAGCAAUUCAGGUGGAAGUAGCUACUCUGAUCGAGGGAUUUAGGGCACCGUAUCAAGCAGACCCAUUCGCGACCGCGACAACGAAGAAUCGAGGAUUUGAAGUAUCCCGGUGCGCAUGAGAGGGGCGACAGCGGUGCAAUUGCUAGAGUUGUACGGUUUCUAGGGUUCGAAGGGAGGAGCAAGAGAGACAGAUGCAAGAGGGCGAGCGAGGUCGAUAACUCCCAAUUAUUAUUAUUAUUAUUAUUAUUAUUAUUAUUUAUUUUCUUUAUUAAAUUGUCUCGCUGCUCGAUUUUCUCGAGUGAACUCAGUGAGUUCCGAUGACUCCGAACUGCUAUAUUUACCUCUAUUUGACACAAUAAAACGUUCAGGUGAGAUAUCGGCUCGCAUAUAAGCCACUGCUUUUAGAAUGACCCCCGUCAUAACAAUUAGUAACUGAAACCAUGGCCGUUGCAAGAGACGAGAUAUCUCAAGUGACAUAAUAAAACACCUGCUAUAAUUAUCUCUAUUUGACAUAAUAAAAACAUUCGGGUGAGAUAUAUCAUCUCAUGUGCCCAUCGAGCUGUCUUUAAUAACAAUAAUAAUAAAUUAUUUUUCCUUUUUCACCUGUUUUUAAAGCAAAAAAAUGGAUGAGCAAUACACGGUGAUUACCCUGCAAAGGCAACUACAUGAAAUAAUACUGAACUGCUGCGACGAUAUGUACAUGAUAAGCUGUCUUUCAUCAUUUCUUGGGUUAAAACUUAUCGUGAAAAUUAUUUUGCUGCAUUAUCACGGUGUAAGGGAAGCUAUGAUUUCUUUUACAUGGCUAAUACACUUAAUGAGGGAAAGUCGGUUGAAUUCCUGCUUGGCGACUGUGAGCAUGAUGCUCGUGAAGAAGAACGAUUAGGUUCUCGAGAUCCCCCGGCGAAUUAACGAUAUGGAAUCUAUGCACGGUCUUGGAAUCUUCCUCUUGAAGGAGUCCGCAUCGAUUCAUCUGAUUUGCAACCAUAAGAACACAGCUAUCAGUGCAAAAGAUUAGACAAAAGGUAACAACGCACAGAAACAGGCAACAAAACAGAUAAUAUUUCAAAAAUCUGCAGCAUUUUCAGACACCAGAUACAGAAAAGUGGAAUGUAUGAGCUUACCAAUGAUUACAGAAGAUGCCCUACCUCUAUUUCCAUCAAAUAUUCAUUAGGAUAAUUUGUAUGAACUUUUAGCUUACAUAUGAAGAGUGUACACCUACAUGCAUCAAAUUAUGUAUCGUAAAAUAUCGAGAAGCAAAUUAUUGUACCAUCUCUAACAGCUAAAUCAUGGAUUCAAGCUCCUAUACCAGUCUUAGCACACAAUACAAGAGAUCCCACAUCUAAUCCUUAUGCAAGAAAAAAAAAUCAAGUUAAUAAGUAUAGCUGUCUUUGGCUCUUUACUAGUGCUGUUGGUAGGAAAAAAUAAUGACCAACACUCAGUACAGGAACAAAUCAAGUUAUAAAAAGAGAACAGUAUGUCUGCUGGUGCUGUUGGAGAUACAACAGUUAUUUCAGUAUAAGUUGCAGAGAGGGACACAGUUAAAGAAUUAUCAAAGCAUCGCAUGCCUCAGUGACAUGUUCUUUUGAAUUAGCAAUUUAGCAUAUUAUCACUAACAUACAAUUGCUUGAUAAAAAUGCAAACAUAUACGGAAAAGAAAAUAAAGAAAUCCAAUGAGGUUUAACUGACAUGAUGCUAGUAUGGGCCAUUUGAUGGAACAUAUAGCAUCUAAAUGGAACUCAAUUUAUUCUGACCAUAUUUCCAGAACUCAAUUGUCAUAGUCAAUGAUCUUUUGAUAUUAGGCAAGCUUUUGUUCUGGUGUCAAUCCUUCUUUGGAGGCAAUCUAGAUGAGGAAAUAGUGGGAACUGGUGUCUCAGAAAAAGACAAACUAAGACUGUUAAAAAAAAUUUCAAAUAAUC
Molecule: long non-coding RNA, 15509 nt
Filed under: Musa acuminata (dwarf banana)
Lineage: Eukaryota; Viridiplantae; Streptophyta; Magnoliopsida; Zingiberales; Musaceae
Description: long non-coding RNA (MACU_LNC000738)
Source: RNAcentral